RNAcentral lists this ribosomal RNA (253 nucleotides) under uncultured bacterium. RNAcentral's name for it is "partial 16S ribosomal RNA". It matches the Rfam family "Bacterial small subunit ribosomal RNA", at positions 524 to 776 of the family's 1533-position model. The record is from RNAcentral.
UACGGGGGGGGCAAGCGUUGUUCGGAAUUACUGGGCGUAAAGGGCUCGUAGGUGGCCAACUAAGUCAGACGUGAAAUCCCUCGGCUUAACCGGGGAACUGCGUCUGAUACUGGAUGGCUUGAGUUCGGGAGAGGGAUGCGGAAUUCCAGGUGUAGCGGUGAAAUGCGUAGAUAUCAGGAAGAACACCAAUGGCGAAGGCAGCUCUCUGGGACGGUACUGACACUGAGACGCGAAAGCGUGGGGAGCGAACAGG